Molecule: transfer RNA, 83 nt
Filed under: Propionibacteriaceae bacterium
Lineage: Bacteria; Bacillati; Actinomycetota; Actinomycetes; Propionibacteriales; Propionibacteriaceae
Description: tRNA-Leu
Rfam family: tRNA
About the family: Transfer RNA (tRNA) molecules are approximately 80 nucleotides in length.
Source: RNAcentral
GCCCAAGUGGCGGAACGGUAUACGCGGUCGGCUCAAACCCGGCUGGCUGAAAGGCCAUAGGGGUUCGAUUCCCCUCUUGGGCA